Molecule: unclassified non-coding RNA, 2817 nt
Filed under: Haliotis rubra (blacklip abalone)
Lineage: Eukaryota; Metazoa; Mollusca; Gastropoda; Lepetellida; Haliotidae
Description: uncharacterized LOC124260813, transcript variant X3
Source: RNAcentral
AUACCUGUACACAGCGAUGUUCCUCAGUAAUGCUGGUAGCGAUCACGAUGGCAGGUCAACCAACCAGAAAGUGUGUCAUCUGCGAUAUGUCGAUACCUGUACACAGCGGUGUUCCUCAGUAAGGCUGGUAGCGAUCACGAUGGCAGGACUACGCAAGCUUAAGACAUCGCUCGUAAACCCACAGCCAGGACGAUUACCAAUUCUCGGCCUGAUCCUGACCUUGACGAUAUGCUUACUAGGGACUUACGUAAUUGGAACAUUUUACGUUACUUUUAUUGUAGAUAAAAACAUCAAAGGCCUUGACCUUCCGCGUACUCUGCCUAGACGUGAUGUAUUGCAGUCAGAUGUACUGUUGGUCAGGGAACAAUCCCAACCUGUGUACGUCAUACCAAAAUAUGCACUAGUUGUUGAGAAGGCUCAAAAUGUUGUCUACAAGCCCGUCAACGUUUCCAUCCAGAAGAAGUCUGUCCAGAAGCUGCCGUUGAAGAAACUCACCUGGCUUAACCCCCCUGGGUGGAUGAAGGUCGAGCCGUACACAGAUUUCACUCAGUGCGUUGUCAGUGACUGUGUCAUCUCCUUCAACAGGAGCGACGUUGAUGCUGCUGACUUGGUCCUGGUGGAAGGGAACGCUAUCCCAGACGCUGAGACUCCAACAAAUAACCCUGAUCAGAUCUGGGUGUUCUACACAGCAGAGACGGUCCAACAGUUCUACAACCCGAGAAGCUAUAAACGGAAGGACUGGAUUGGUAGAUUCAACUGGACAAUGACCUACAGGCUAGACUCGGACGUCGUCUCAACGUACUCCAGACUCAUCCUGAAAGAAGACUUCGUAAACAACGCUAACUAUACCGACAUCGUCCACAAGAAGACCAGGUCUGUCCUGUGGUUCGUCAGUCACUGUGAGACUCAGAGUAAACGGAAGGAAUACGUUGAGGAACUGAGGAAGUACAUAGAUGUUGAUAUUUACGGUCACUGUGGCAAUCUGACAUGUAAAGGACAAGAGUGUGACAAGGUGUGGAGUAAAUAUUGGUUUUAUUUGUCUUUUGAAAACUCAAUGUGUAAGGAUUACGUAACGGAAAAGUUUUUCAACACAUUUAAUAAGAACAUCGUUCCAGUGGUUCGAGGGGGUGCAGAUUACCGUACUCUGUUCCCUCCAGACUUGUACAUCAACACAGCAGACUUCUCCAGUCCCAAAGCUCUGGCAGAUCAUCUGAAGGCUCUGCAGCAAGACCUACCUGGCUAUACUAAAAUCCUCAGGAACAUGGCCAAGUACAAACAAGGGGGGAACUUCCUGAAGGGUAUUCCAUGGAUAUGUGACACUUGUGCCAAGCUGCACCAGCCUUUGACACAGCUUGCACACCCAUGUCGUGUGCUGGGACCUGGUGCUGUGGUUCGCUUGAUCCUUCUGCUCAUUGUUGGUCUUGUGGUUGUGAUACUAGUGGGCCAAUCAAAAGAUUCUAUUGCAGAUAAAAGAAACAUAUCAAGUCGUACACCUACAACAACUACAACAAUAAAACCAAGGGAGUUGUUUCCAGGAGGUGUGAAGAAUGAAUCAGAGUUCUUCAGAGUUGCAUAUGAAUCUGAAUGGGGGGUACCCAACCAUGCACUGGUCGUUGAGAAGGUGAGGAAAGUAGUCUACAAACCGAUCAUCGAGUCCGUGGAGAUAAAAUCGGUUAAAAAGCGGCCCUUGAAGAAACUUGCUUGGCUAAAUAGACCAACCUGGAUGAACGUGAAACCAUACAUGGAUUUUUCGGGAUGUGCCGUCAGCGAUUGUGUUGUGUCCCUCAACAGAAGUGAUGUUCCAGCAGCUGAUGCUGUGUUGGUUCACAUCGACCUACUCAAGGACACUGACGUUCCCAAUAACAACCCGGACCAGAUAUGGGUGUUCUACACAGCCGAGACGAUCUACCAGUUCUACAACCCUAGAGCCAUCAAACGGGCGGACUGGAUUGGAAGAUUCAACUGGACGUUAAGCUUCCGACUGGACUCAGACGUCGUCUCGACAUACUCCAGACUCAUCCUGAAAGAAGACUUCGUUGACAACGCUAACUACACCGACAUCGUCCACAAGAAGACCAGGUCUGUCCUGUGGUUCGUCAGUCACUGUGAGACUCAGAGUAAACGGAAGGAAUACGUUGAGGAACUGAGGAAGUACAUAGAUGUUGAUAUUUACGGUCACUGUGGCAACCUGAAGUGUAAAGGACAAGAGUGUGACACGUUGUGGAGUAAAUAUUGGUUUCAUUUGUCUUUUGAAAACUCAAUGUGUAAGGAUUACGUAACGGAAAAGUAUUAUAAAACAUUUGACAAGAACAUCGUUCCAGUGGUUCGAGGGGGUGCAGAUUACCGUACUCUGUUUCCUCCAGAUUUGAACAUUAACACAGCAGACUUCUCCAGUCCCAAAGCUCUGGCAGAUCAUCUGAAGGCUCUGCAGCAAGACCUACCUGGCUAUACUAAAAUCCUCAGGAACAUGGCCAAGUACAAACAAGGGGGGAACUUCCUGAAGGGUAUUCCAUGGAUAUGUGAUAUGUGUGCCAAGUUGCACCAACCACUGGUGAGAAAGACAUACAGGAAUAUUUACCAGUGGUGGACUGAUGGGAUAUGCCACGAUCCGAAGGACUACUAGAGUCGACACUGGUCUUGUACUUCCUGUCUCCCACGCAAUGGUUAAGUCAGUACACGCUGACGAGGUGCUUGUCUUCCGUAAACCAACAUGAACAGUUUCUGAAGUAGAGUCGUGUAUGUCACAUCCAUAACGUGGAUGAAUUCAGAUGUCUAGAGCAGUUGCACCUGUGUGAUCUCAUGAGAGUCUAUGUCAUU